GACGAACGCUGGCGGCGUGCUUAACACAUGCAAGUCGAACGGAAAGGCCCUGCUUUUGUGGGGUGCUCGAGUGGCGAACGGGUGAGUAACACGUGAGUAACCUGCCCUUGACUUUGGGAUAACUUCAGGAAACUGGGGCUAAUACCGGAUAGGAGCUCCUGCUGCAUGGUGGGGGUUGGAAAGUUUCGGCGGUUGGGGAUGGACUCGCGGCUUAUCAGCUUGUUGGUGGGGUAGUGGCUUACCAAGGCUUUGACGGGUAGCCGGCCUGAGAGGGUGACCGGCCAGAGUGGGACUGAGAUACGGCCCGGACUCCUCCGGGAGGCAGCAGUGGGGAAUAUUGCACAAUGGGCGGAAGCCUGAUGCCGCAACGCGGCGGGGGGGAUGACGGCCUUCGGGUUGUAAACCGCGUUCGCCUGUGACGAAGCGUGAGUGACGGUAAUGGGUAAAGAAGCACCGGCUAACUACGUG
This 468-nucleotide ribosomal RNA is filed under the name uncultured bacterium. RNAcentral's name for it is "partial 16S ribosomal RNA". It matches the Rfam family "Bacterial small subunit ribosomal RNA", at positions 28 to 507 of the family's 1533-position model. The record is from RNAcentral.